CUGAAAAUAUCAGAGAUAUUGCUGCUGUUGUCAACAUUGCUACUGAUCAAAGGCAAGGAUUUCUGAAGAGAAAAACAUAUUUGAGAAGUGAAGAACAGGGUUGGCAGUCUCUUCAGUAUUAUUUGAUAUCUAGAUUUCUGUCCCAGACUGCUGAGCCAAGGUAACCACAAGGAUGAUGGGGAAUUGGUUUGAGAAGAGGAUUGUUUCAGAACUUGGAAGUGAUCCCGGACAAUUCCAGAGACUCAUGAUGAAAAAUGCCAUCUGCCUUCCAAGAAAGAACUAGAGUCUGAAGGCAGAAUGAAACAUACUAUAUUUCAUUUUCUUUAUU
RNAcentral lists this long non-coding RNA (328 nucleotides) under Monodelphis domestica (gray short-tailed opossum). RNAcentral's name for it is "lncRNA (ENSMODG00000037745.1)". The record is from RNAcentral. Lineage: Eukaryota; Metazoa; Chordata; Mammalia; Didelphimorphia; Didelphidae.